Nematostella vectensis (starlet sea anemone) is the source of this 1649-nucleotide RNA transcript. RefSeq lists it as uncharacterized. The record is from RefSeq and is a predicted model, not a curated record. The transcript has 7 exons. Lineage: Eukaryota; Metazoa; Cnidaria; Anthozoa; Actiniaria; Edwardsiidae.
UGUCAAUCAUUCGAGGAGGCGGGGACAAAGAAGUUGAUAAAACUAAAGUCACACCUCGAAAUAUCCAUUGAGCGAGGUAAGCUCAAGCAACUGGGUUAGCCACAUCUGCUUUCACCGAAAACCUCUUCGCCAAGAUGAAGCUGGUCUGCUCGUGGAUACUAGUUUUUGCUUUGCUUUAUGGAUGCCUUGCCAAGGAGAACACUCAAGAAAGCUCCAACACUGAAGAUGAGAAGCUCGACAUCAAGCCGCGCGCAUAUUACCCCCCAUCAGAAUGCAGAUCGUACACAAUGUUACACGGAGCCGAUCGUGCAAUGGCCAAUACCGCACAAAAUGCCCUCCGCUGUGACAAGAAUGAGUUUCCAGGUAACCUGUGGUACCGUUUCACUGGACAAGCAGGCAAUGCUAUGCCAACAAGUUGUGUACUUGAAAAACGCUGUGGAACCCACGCGCCUGGGUGGAUGGUGGGAGCUCAUCCCACUGUAGCCCAAGGUAUGGUGACUCGCAAGGUGUGCUACCACUGGACUAAAAACUGCUGCAGAUGGAGCAACUACAUCAAAGUCAGGAACUGCGGUGCAUUCUACGUCUACCAGCUUCCCAAGACACCAGUGUGCUGGCUUCGCUACUGUGGCAACGGCAUUCCUCAACCACCUGAGUGCCGAAGAUACACUGUCUUCAACAGCUUUGACCGAGCGAUUGGCAAUACCGCACAGAAUAGCCUCAAGUGUGACCAGAGAGACCUUCCUGGUAAUCUCUGGUACCGCUUCCUCGGCGCAGCAGGAAAUGCCAUGCCAACAAGUUGUGUACCUGUAAAACGCUGUGGUACCCAUGCCCCUGGAUGGAUAGUCGGAUCUCAUCCCAGCCUUCGUUACAGCCUGGUGACACGCAAGGUGUGCUAUCACUGGAGUGGAAGCUGCUGCAGGUGGAGCAACUACAUCAAAGUCAGGAACUGUGGUGGAUUCUACGUCUACCAGCUACCCAAGACACCCGUCUGUUGGCUUCGCUACUGCGGCAAUCGGGUAUCGCUUCCACCUCCUCCUCCAGGUUGGUGUUUUUUUGUGUUUAUGCCGAGAGUGCCGAAGAUACACUGUCUUCAACAGCUUUGACCGAGCGAUUGGCAAUACCGCACAGAAUAGCCUCAAGUGUGACCAGAGAGACCUUCCGGGUAAUCUCUGGUACCGCUUCCUCGGCGCAGCAGGAAAUGCCAUGCCAACAAGUUGUGUACCUGUAAGACGCUGUGGCACCCAUGCCCCUGGAUGGAUGGUCGGAUCUCACCCCAGCCUUCGUUACAGCCUGGUGACACGCAAGGUGUGCUAUCACUGGAGUGGAAGCUGCUGCAGGUGGAGCAACAACAUCAAAGUCAGGAACUGUGGCGGAUUCUACGUCUACCAGCUACCCAAGACACCCGUCUGUUGGCUUCGCUACUGUGGCCGUGGCUACUAAAGUAAUCAAAUAAAAUAUGCUUUGUCAACAACAGAAACGGAACGGAACGGAACGGAAAAUGAAGUCUGUAUAGCUGCUCUGAUGUUUUGACAUCAAGAGAUCUCUUCCAGAGUUGUGUUAUGUGGAGCAGGUCAUAGCAGCAUUGCUCGAAACUUGAACCACAGGAACAUUACCACUUAGUACUUUUACAAUAAAUGAGCAUUUAAAAA